AAAAAAACAGCCAGCAAUACUAUGUCAUUAUUAAAUGGGAGGACAAAACAACUAUGAUAAAGCAAGAACUUUGGAUUCAGAAAAACAAUAAAUAUAGCAGAAAAUUUACCCUUAAAAUAAAGAGUUGAUCAAAGGGGGCAGCAAGCUCUCCUCUCAUCUACUCUCAAAUAUUUCUAGAUCAAAAAGCCCAUGAAUGCCACAGAUCAAGCAUGAACAUAAAUAAAUUGAAUCAAGAAAAAAAAAUUGAGACCAGAUACUUGCUCAAAUCAGGACAAAUUGAAAUAAAAUACAACAGCAGAAGAAAAUAAAUUUCAGAUAAAGACAAGGUGAACCAAGAAGAGAACCCAAAGGUCAAGAUCGAUAGAAACGUUUCUCAAUAAAACCACUUAAAAACCAAAAUCUAUAGACCGUGCAUGUAGAUCUAUGAAACAAAUUGAUGGAAAGAAAAUCCAUAAAAUUCGAAGAAAAAAAAUACCUUGCGAUAGGUGGUGCCAUCA
This 497-nucleotide unclassified non-coding RNA is filed under the name Hevea brasiliensis (rubber tree). The record is from RNAcentral. Lineage: Eukaryota; Viridiplantae; Streptophyta; Magnoliopsida; Malpighiales; Euphorbiaceae.